UGUUGGCUGGGUUGCAAGGAGUUGGAAAGACAACUGUCAGCGCAAAACUAGCUUUAUAUCUGAAAAAGCUGGUGAUCAUCUUGAAUCCAUAUUUCUUUCAGCAGACAUCCUCCCGGUCUAAUUUUUAACAGUCUAAAUUAUGAUUGACCUGACAUUGCUUGAGCUAUAAUAAUAUGAUCAACAGGGAAAGAGUUGCAUGCUAAUUGCUGGGGAUGUCUAUAGACNUGUGAAACUGGUUUCACGGUGAAAUCAAUUUUUCGAAUGACAAUAAUUCAAAAUACAAAUGAUAUUUUAACAUUUUCAAUUACACUAAUUUAACAUACAAAUUACACUUUAAAAUAUUAAAGUGUCAUUUGUAUAUUGAAGUAGCGUCAUUGCGAAACCGAUUUCACACGAGUUUCUGUGCUAUAUCUAUAUACGAAAAUACAAUGUUUUCACCAAAAUUUUCCAGCCAAUAGCAUCAACUGAGGAUAAUAAUUUUUGUGUUUGUAUCUUUUUUUUUGUAAUUGGGGAUGACAAGAUUUACUUUUACAAAUAAAGAAAUACUACAUAGUUACUCAAAUUAAGUAAAUCAUUAUUGAUUAGUUAAUUUAAUGUAAUUCUUUUAAAUAUCAUAUUUAGUUCACUUUAUAUAAUUUAGUAUCUUUUAAUAUUACUCUAUGUAUUAAUGAUUAGAUCAUGAAUUAAUUUUAUCGAUAUAAAAAAACUUAUAUUAAUUCAUAUUGUGCAUUCAAUAUGUACAAAUAAACAAUACAAAUUAUUUAAACGAAUAGUUCAUUCCCAAUUAGAUUCACAAGCUCAUAUGAGAGUUAGUUCUACACGUCUACUACUCUAACGAUGAUAGAGUAUUUAUCAAACUUAAUCUUAAUGAACAAGAUGUUUGAGUAUUUGAUAUUUUCCUUCAACCAAUUUUCAAAUAAAUAAUAUUGCGUAGUCGAAGGGAAUUAUUCAAAGAAAAAUUUCUUAUAAAUCGCUCUAGCUUACAUAAAAAAAUAUUUUUAGUUUUGUUCAUUGUUGAGAGGUCGUCUAUAACUUUACGAACUUUCGGAAAUCUAAAUAAUGAUUGAAGAUGUAACGGCUUAUUGGAUAAUACAUCUAACCUCCAUUAUAAUAUAAGAUCUCAACAGAUAAAAUAGCGGAUAACAGAAUCUCUCUCUCUCUCUCUGUUUGCAGGUGCUAUCAUGGAGGCCUCUGCCCAAUUCUCGGGCGUUGCUUCCCGCCAUUUCCCGGCUUCCUCCUCACUCCAAAUCCCGAAAUUGCCACUCCGCAGCUCCCUAUUCCCCAGGAGGUCCUCUUCGUCGACCUGCUCCGCUCAAUCACUCUCCUUCUCCGCCGGCAAUUCCUUCGCGGUGGGUUCUGCUCUCGCUAGCUUCCUCGCCUCUCGUAAUUGUGUUUCGAUUGGUUUUAUUUAUUUUCGUUGAUGUAGAGAGAGGUGUGGGGAGUGAUAAACUCCAGGAGCAGCGCCAGCCAGAGAAGGGAAAUGCGAGGCGUUGUGAGAGCGGAGAUGUUUGGGCAGCUCACGAGCGGCCUCGAAUCCGCUUGGAACAAGCUCAAGGGAGAAGGUUUUUCGCUUAUUUCGUGUUUUCCUGACUUGAUCGUGCUGGUUUUACUUUUUCAAGUGGAGCGCUUGAGUAUUCAUCAGCUAAUCAUCUAUAGACAUUGCGGAAUUCGUUGUUUAUCUUCGUACUGAUUCUAGUUUAGAUGAUCAACAAAAUAAAUUGAAAUAUUAAAUCCAUCAUGCACCCGGAUCCAUAACUUGUUUAUCGCUUGAGAUUUGCAAUUUGCAUCAACUCCUUUCUUAACACAUCUUUAGUGGUUUUUAACUAGUCUUUCUAUGUUGAUGAGUUGCAUAAGUAUACGGACCACGAGUUAUGUGUUUAUACGCACACACAUAUAGUGACUGGUUUUGUGCUUUCCCAACUCUCAAUAUGAAACUAUAUGCAGGGAUUUGUCAUACUUAAUUAAUUUUGUUUCUGACUUUGUUGCUCUACAGAGGUCUUGACCAAGGAAAACAUUGUGGAGCCUAUGAGAGACAUUAGGAGAGCUCUUCUGGAAGCAGAUGUAAACCUUUUUCUUGUUUGAUAAUUACACUAUGAUUUCCAAUCUGUGUCCCACAUACGUUUAUUCAUUGUUGGCAGGUCAGCCUUCCUGUUGUUAGAAGAUUUGUUCAGGCUGUUAGUGACCAAGCUGUUGGUACUGGAUUGAUCCGAGGAGUAAAACCAGAUCAGCAAUUAGUGAAGGUAUGCAUUAGUUACUGCCAUAGUUGGUGUCUACCAGACAACAGGGCUCUUGAGCAAUAUUGAGCUGUCAUUUCUAUUUCUGCCUUUCAAGUGCAUUUAUACCAUCUAUGUCUUGGAAGGUUUGUACCCACCAUAUUAUAGGUUUAGUUAAGAACUUUCAUAUAUGUAAAGGCCUUGAUUUGGUUCAAUUUAUAUAUUUAUGUGCUGUUUGGGAAGUAACUCUUUUGGUUAAACAGACCGACUUCCAUCAUGUGAUAUCAAAGUCGAACUGAUUAUUAUUGAUGGUAAAAAAAUUAUAAUGAUCUUUUAAGUAUUGUGCUUGGAUUUUUGCACUUCUGUAAUAUGCGAAAUGCAUUAUCUAGUAAUCACUAGUCAGUUAUAUAAAACAUUAUGUUUGCCAAUGAGGAAUUAGUUUACAGAAGCUGGUAAAAGUAGCUCCCAUAGAUGACCUUCAUCUGAAAUGAUUAUUAUCUUUCUUUAACCUAUGCAGAUAGUUAGUGAUGAGCUAGUAAAACUAAUGGGAGGAGAAGUUUCUGAGCUGGUUUUUUCAAAAACUAAACCGACUGUCAUAUUGUUGGCUGGGUUGCAAGGAGUUGGAAAGACAACUGUCAGCGCAAAACUAGCUUUAUAUCUGAAAAAGCUGGUGAUCAUCUUGAAUCCAUAUUUCUUUCAGCAGACAUCCUCCCGGUCUAAUUUUUAACAGUCUAAAUUAUGAUUGACCUGACAUUGCUUGAGCUAUAAUAAUAUGAUCAACAGGGGAAGAGUUGCAUGCUAAUUGCUGGGGAUGUCUAUAGACCUGCUGCUAUUGACCAGCUGGUUAUUCUGGGCGAACAG
RNAcentral lists this long non-coding RNA (3074 nucleotides) under Salvia miltiorrhiza (redroot sage). RNAcentral's name for it is "long non-coding RNA (SMIL_LNC008213)". The record is from RNAcentral. Lineage: Eukaryota; Viridiplantae; Streptophyta; Magnoliopsida; Lamiales; Lamiaceae.